CAGUAGCCGGGGAACACGUAGGGUGCAAGCGUUAAUCGGAAUUACUGGGCGUAAAGCGUGCGCAGGCGGUUAUAUAAGACAGAUGUGAAAUCCCCGGGCUCAACCUGGGAACUGCAUUUGUGACUGUAUAGCUAGAGUACGGCAGAGGGGGAUGGAAUUCCGCGUGUAGCAGUGAAAUGCGUAGAUAUGCGGAGGAACACCGAUGGCGAAGGCAAUCCCCUGGGCCUGUACUGACGCUCAUGCACGAAAGCGUGGGGAGCAAACAGGAUUAGAUACCCCAGUAGUCCCUGUCUCUUAUACA
RNAcentral lists this ribosomal RNA (301 nucleotides) under uncultured bacterium. RNAcentral's name for it is "partial 16S ribosomal RNA". It matches the Rfam family "Bacterial small subunit ribosomal RNA", at positions 509 to 808 of the family's 1533-position model. The record is from RNAcentral.